Harpia harpyja (harpy eagle) is the source of this 9923-nucleotide long non-coding RNA. RefSeq lists it as uncharacterized. The record is from RefSeq and is a predicted model, not a curated record. NCBI's taxonomy places the organism in Eukaryota, Metazoa, Chordata, Aves, Accipitriformes, Accipitridae. The transcript is spliced from 2 exons.
UGGACUUCCAUUUAUUCAUUGCUGUUAUGAAAGCUUCUGAUUAAUAUUUGGAGCUCUACAGUUUUACAGAUGUACACUGCUGUAUGUAUUGUAUUGCAGUCACUUUGUUAAGGGAGCCAGACAGGGUAACUUCAGAAAUGUAAAUUUAUGGCUUAUUAGACCAUUUUUAUUUUAAAAAGUGCAGAACUGCAAAUACACUGGAAAACAUUGAUGUAUUAAUAUUGCUUGAUAGUCCUUUGAUAGCACCGUACUAAAUAUAACAUGCAAAGGUAAAAGAGAGGUUUUUACCAUUUUUUGCUUAUGAUGUAUAAGACUUCCUGAAAGGGUGUUUUGGGGGGAUUACUUGUGUGAUUGAGUUUGGGGGGGUUUACAUGCUUGAAUAUUUGGGGGGAAAGAGAGGACUGUUUCUACUGCCUUUUUUUUUUUUUCCACAUGGGGCUUGAAUUCUCCUGAGAGGUCUGCCUGCCCCUGGAUCCGCACCCGUGCCCCGACCCACAAGCUGAUGCCCUGGGCUGAGGGCUGCCCCCAGCUGCCCCCCAGCCUGCCCAGCUCCCUGGCCACCCUGGAGAACCCCGCAGCUUCAUGGCCUAAGACCUCAGGUCAACCUCAAGCAUUCCCUGAGCCCCGGCAGCCAAACCUUCAGGAGGGCGGAUGCUCUUAGGGCCCCAAGAGACUAGAGAGCUGGUAAGAUCAUGACAGUAUGUUUGCUGUGCAAAUGAAACCAGAUGGGAGGAUGAGCACAUCUUAUGCAGAUCACAAGCUGUUUUCACUCGAGCUAACUGGAUGUGAAUAAAAACAAACCCAGGAAAACCCUUCUUGGUGAGGGGAGAAGCAGCGUGUUAGUGAAGAUGGACAACCCAUGUACCUUCGGCAGAGGGAGGAAAGGGUAUGUACUGAGAACUCCAGGAAAGAAAAACAAGAACUAGCUUCACCCUGCCAAUACUUCUAAAAAUGAAAAAGGAGAAGGAGAAAUGAGCAAUGUGUCAGCCUUCAACAUUGACUUAUGAACAAGGGCUUGACCUGCAGAGUGUUGGGCGAAGAGUGGGGAUCCAGGGUCUCGCAGCAGCUCUGCAGGGCGUGAAUCACAACCUGAGCAUGAGUCAACAGGACCUGGCUGUUGUGAAAAUGUUAAAUGUCAGUACGAGGAUGUUUAUACAGAACUAUAACUUAUAAAACACAUGAAGCAAUCCUUCAGCUCCACUCAGUGCUUGUAAGGCCUCAGCUAGAGCAGUGUGUCAAACACUGAGCAACUUUUUUCCUCUUCAAGGGAAACAUGAAGUAGCUGUAGGGAAGCCAAGCAGAGAGAAUAAAGAAUUAUGAGAAGUUUGGAAGAGCCUGUCCUCACAGGUCAUGUUAGAGAUCAUGUAGUGUUCAGUGUGAACAACAGACCAAAGGGGACACAAAAAUUUGGUUUUCUGUAAGAAGCAUAUUUUGCAAAAAAGGAAUUUAUCCAUAUAAGUAGGACAAGAAUAAUAGGCUUAAUUGCAGCUUGAGAGAAUUAAGUUAGAUAUUGGGAAAAACAUUCUAGGCACAGGAAUGGUUACAAGCAGGGAGAGAUGGUCUGAUGAAGCUGUCAAAAACCUCUGUUAUGAGAGAUUUUUAAAGACUGUUUUAAAUAAAUAGGGGCCAAGAAAACACUGAGGCGGGAUGCACUACAUGAGCUUUGGGGCCCGUUCUCAUUCUGUUUCUGUGUGAUUCCCAGCUUGUGAGAACUAAACUUGGCUGACACAUGGUUUUCCCCAUACAGACUAAUUCCAAACUGAUGGUACUGGACAAACGGGUCAGCAGUCAUCAAAAUCACAGCCAGAAAUACUCUCUAUUCCAGCAACAGAAGCUUUUUGUGUAGUGUGGGCUGAACUCCAGUAAAAUCCUGUGAAUUAAACCCUGUUGCAUUAAAGUGACAUUGAUUUCAGAAUUUUGUUCUGUGACAAAUCCAAAUUUGAGAUUUUCUGGUUUUCAUGUCUAUCUUUCUUAGGCAGUUAAAUGAAUGCAGCCCUUCUAAUAAUCCAGGCGCAUUAGGUGAAGUAAAUCCUCUUUUGGCAAUUAUCUGAAGACACCUAUUGAGUUCAAGGAAAAACAGCAGCUCAGGCACUGGAGCGCAGAGACCAUUGUCAUGUUUAUGCAAAACUUGCUUCCCAUGCCCCAAAAGCUGUUUGUUCCUCUUUGUGCUAUGCUGCAGAUGGUAGCACAGCUUACCACAUCAGCUCUCAGAGGAGGAGUAGCAAAGAUGAGAGAAGCACAUCUCAGGCUCCUGUUCUUGGUCUCCCAUGGAUUCCCUGGGAGGACUCAGAGGCAGGAAGAACUAGAAAGCAAGUAAACAUCUGCCCCAAACCCAGGAGCAUCUUCCAUUGUUAAGGGCAUGUCCACUCCCUUCGACACAGUUCCCAAAGGAACUGCACUACGGCAGAGGGGAGAUAGGCCCUGCUUUGCCUAUCACUCUCCCAGGCCAGGGUUUGCAGCCAGAAUAAUAGACAGACAAAUCCUUCUCCCCCAGAAUAAUGUAUAUAACUUACUUCAUGCGUUAUAGAUUUCUCUUGUCACUACUAUUAUAUAGUAGCAUACAGCCCAUUCUUCCAGCCCUGCCUUUUCCAGGACAGUAAGAUACGUUAUUUAACAAUAACAGAAAGGGCAUUAACUUGAGAUUAGAUUAUUUGCUGUCCAGGUGUCAGAGCAGACUUUAAAUAAUUCACAUCAUAGCCCUCCAUACAGAAAUUGGAUGGAUAAGGCUGACUGGGAUUCCUGAAGCAGCUUUCCUCAGCAAGACAAAGGGCCUGUCCUUCAGGGCAGGAGGAGCUGCUACGUGGGGACAUUUUGUAACCCAGGAAAACUGAAUUCACCUGAUAAAAUAUAUUAAACAGAAACUUUGAGAAGGAAGAAGAGACACUUAAAUUUUAAUAAAGUCCAGGGGACAUUGAUAAGUUCCCCGUGCUCUCCAGUAAGAAUAGUGGGAGCUGUUUUCUUAAUACAGCUGGUUCAAAAGAAAGUCAAGAGGCAGGGAGGGAAGAGAAGCUUCCCAGUUUGGGGGUCCAGCAGCUCUUCUCCAUCACCUCUGCAUUUCAGUGGUCAGACUCGUUCUGUUUGCAGUAAGGGCCUUGGUUUUGGUUUGGAUCCACUUUUUCCAUUUUACUGUGUUUACCUUCUGUUUCCCCUCUGCUUAGCCUUCUACUGUCUUUCUCUUUUUUCUGUAACUAAUACUGUUGUUCCAGUUUCAUCCUGCCACCUCGGUCAUGCUGGGAAGCGAAACAAGUUGUUUAAUUGCAGUGCAGUACCCAGCAGGACACGUCCCCUCCCUCAUAUAAGGUUGCUCUUAUUUGCCUUCUUCACUUAUGUUCUCAGCAGAGAGGACAAGAAGGGACAUGGAACUCCUCACUCUGCUGACAAAUGGUCCAUGAAAAUGGUUAGAGAGCGACACUGAGGGGAGCCCACAUUGCUACACGCAUGAUAUAUCUAUAUGCCUUGGUCCCAAGCCUGUCAGCUCACGAUCUUUCAUUGGCCCAGAAUUCACAGGUGCACGUGAAUGCUCCUAUACAAACACAGGAGCCAAGAUUUUUAAGAAUUAGCUAAUAUUUUAGGGUGUUUCAAGGUAAGACAUUUUAAAGAGACCCUCGUUUCUGAAACUGGUGAGCUCACAGCUUCAGAAAAUGGGCACUGAUACAGUGCAGUUAGGGAGCACAGGGUGCACAGCAGGUCACUUCAUCUAUCCGCUUCCUGGUGCCAGUAUGGAUUUCUUGUCCCCAGGAUAACUGCUCGAACUAAAGAGUUGCCAGUUGCUGAACUGUCACGUUCACAUCUUUUCCUUUUUUUAACCUAAUUAGGCUAGAUUUAUUUUUAACGCUCCUUAUUACCAUCCGCUUCUGACUUCCAUCCAUCUACUGCUGAGUACAUGCUGCUCUUGCCAAAGCAAGUGUCUUUCAGCAGCUAGCUCAGCCCCCUGGAACUUUACCACCCUGCAGGAGAUCACACUUGCCACCACUGUCCCUUCCAUUAAUUCCAUGGCAGCACAUGCCGUUUGUCUGCCUUGUUCAGUGCUCUCGUGUUAAUAACUGUGCAACUGGUUGUUAUUUCUUUCAUAACCAUUACCAUAGCUGCCUGUUGUUGAUAAUUCAGGGUUAAUUACUUACUAAAAAGUUUAGCAGAACAAUUUAGCUUCGCUUAGCCUGUUCAUUGAUGAAGACUAUAAAUGCCUGCAGUCUAUCACUGAUAGAGACAUUACUGGAGUUUGGUAUAAUUGGCUUUUACUGAAGUGCUGAAGCAAAAAUGAGGGUUAGGCUAACUGGCAAAGUCAGCAGCCUGCUUGUACACCUACUUGGUUUUCCAUUCAAUUUUGGGCAACCACUUGGCAGGAGAACUGCCACAGUAACUUACCAGGUUCACCUAUGUAUCCAUUCACAUUGCAGCAGCGUGCAGCGUAGAUACAGCUACGGAAGUGCUGAAGCCUGGCAUUAAAAAGGACAUCAUGGCAGCUGUAAAGAGUCCAGCAUUUCAGUUACACGUACAGCGCUGGGCUGAUUUAUCACACAUACAUCUUACUGUAGAUAGACAUACCUACAACAAGACUUAAAUGAUAACGUUCCCUCUGUUUUAUGGAAAAAGUGGGGGAAAAAUUGCCAAGAAGAAUCGUCAUUAAAGGUAAUGUCUCUCCAGUCAGUUUUCUGUGGUCUGGCAGUCUCCUGUUCGCUGAAAUUUUGAAUCUAGGAGUUGUUACAGACAGAAAGCUGUGGAUAUAUGCACUGCUUUCAGUUUCCAGUGAAAUGGAUGGGAACUGGGACCCCUUUCGGCAAUGAGCUCUUUCUGACCAUGCAGUUGGGAGUCCCCAUCUCCUGAUUCCCAGCAGCAGAAGAAAGGCCAUGUGCUCCCACCCAAGGGAAGGUGGGGUUUAGCAUUACACUCCUUUAGAGCAAAACUGGACUCUGGAAACUUCACCCAGCUCUCUGAUUUUACUUGCAUUACACUAUUUGCAGUGAAUUGAGGCUGACUGUGUGCAUUGUGGUACUCUGCAUUCAUUUAAAGCCUUCACAACAUAGGGCUGUGCAACAGGUCAUCAAUAGCCUUUGGCUGCUCUAGGCACUGACAAGCAAGUGAAAGCAAGACAGUUCCCCUCUUAGACACUUUUUAAAUCCAGCAUGGUGUUGUCUUCAUCUUUGGAUGCCUAAGUAUCCUAAAUAUGCCUAAAUAUCUUCAUAUUAAAUUAUGAGCAAGAAAGUGAUUAAUUGUUCCCUGACCUUCAAUUUCUUCACUGAGACUGUGUCACCAAACCAUAUUUUAUGUCACUAGGAGACAGCAGAUGUAAAUCAAAUAUCUGCCUGCUCUAGAAUAUCUAACAAGGGAGGAAAUUACUUCCAUCCGUUAACGCAGACAGAUUUUCUUGAGAGGAUUUUCUGCCUUCCGAAUUCAGUUUUAAAAUGCGAUUUCAUCCUCACAGGUCUGCCUGUUGGUUUCCAGCACAAGGGGCAUUGCCUCAGUUGGUUUGCAGCGCUGGCAAGAACAACAACCUGCCACUCUCUCUCAUCUUCUAAAUGCUUUUUUUCACUACAUAAUGUAAAAACUAUAAAUAAUUUAUAAAAAAAAACCCAACACCCAAGAUAAACUUAGAUUUUGGGUUUCUUCAGAAGGAAAGGUAGUGGGUAUACUUGCUCAAGAAAUUAAAUUAUAAUUAGCUCAAAAGAAGGCUGAACCCCAUACACUUUAUUUCUGUGGUCCAAGACUGAACACGCAGUAAGUAGAGAGGGGACUUUUUUCCCAAAUAAUCAGCAAGAAAUGACAGCGGGCCUUGGGUCUCUGAGAACACCUGUGUUUGCAGCACACAACAUCUGCACAUCCUGUAGCCACAUCUGUGGCUGCCACGAGAACUGGGAGGCUAGUUCUCCCUUUGCAUGCAAUGGGGAGAGAGCAGUGCUCUGACCCCGUGCCGACUUGUGCCAUCCACGUUGCUGCUCCUGCUUGCUCAGGUAUGCUGGGCACUGCAGCCCCCACUGAACCUGGUAUAUUUACAGUCUGUGGCAGAAUGGGCCUCCCCCUUUGGCAGUGCUUUGUAAUUUCCUUUCCUCAGUUUGUCCUCUUAGGAUUUUGCAUCAGCAGCAUUCAACGCUGUCAGAUCAUUGUUAUCAGCAUGUUCUUCAGGCCUAGCUGUAUGAGGUAGUGAGUAUUUUCAACUCUCAUCAGCUCCAAAGCAAGUACCAUUGAAAACUAAAGAAAUUUAAAAAAACCUUAAACAAAAAAAUCAAGCUUAGGAGUAGCCUCAUUGUUGUGUUGUCCCUGUGCAUUCAUUUUUCUGUUCAGAUUAGUCAUGCACUGGCAGAACAGGAAGUUCACAACAGGGCAGCCAAAUCUCAUGUUCAGAAUUAGGACCCUGGAAGGAAAAACCAGCAUGUAAACUAGAAAAAUAUUAGCCCAUGAUUGCACUGAAAUCUCAAAGCUUAAUGCAAGAUGUGUUCAUAAGUGCUUUUGCUGGAAAGAAACAGCCUCUGCCAUGGAAUUACAUAUUUAAGCUCUGUGGAAAAGAUUUGUUUACUGAGUGACAAAGGCAUACACCCUAGGCGGCUGGUCAGAGAGAGUGCUAUGUAAUCAUCACAGGCUGCAACACAAAAAGAACAGUUUGAAGACCUUUGACAUUUGAUUAGUAUGUUUCUCUUUUACAGAGUGAAGAGAGUUUGGACCUUAAAAGGAAAAUGAGCCAAGGCUUUAAUUAGUGGGGCCACAGAGAAAGAAAUGAAGAAUGACUGGAGAGAGCAGUGAGACCCCAGUCAAUGUGAUUACCUGCUGUGGGGCAGGAGGCUGAGUGGCAGGUCACCUCUCUGGAGAGGGCUGCAGUGGCAGGACACCGCCGGGAAGCACGGCCUCCGGCACAGCUCCGUGGUGGGCAGGUCCGGCUAUCUGCACCGCUCUGGGGCCUCUCCUGCCCUGGGCAUAGGUGCCACACACAGCAGCAGCAGAGGGGCUGCCAGCCAGCCUGGGAACUCGCACGGCCACCCAGUAGUUUCUCCUCUUGAAUCUGGGUAGAUUACUUCCUCCUGAUUCUUGGUAAAAAUGUGAUCCAGUAUUGAGACCUCAGGUUAUCAUUCUGAUGCCUGCAAGCAUCUUUCCAUGUGAAAAAAAUGUUGAGGACUUUUUCUCCAGGAUACUACGUGCUUUGCUAAUAAACCACUUUGGAGAUCCUUAAAAGAAUAAUGUUCCUGGGGGCGGAAGAAGUGAUGUGCUGGUUUUACGCUCUCCUCACCCUUUGUGUUUUUGAGUGGCACAACAUGACAUGUUGCAAUUCAUCUGUCAUUUUCACAUUUGGAGAAGUGGUCAGAAUGGAGCAAUCCAGCCAUCCCAGCUGAAUACACUGUUAACUGACAGAUGUCUCGAGUCCAACAGGAGUUGCGAGGCUGUUGUGGAGGUGCUGACUUUUAAAUUCCAACUGCAUGCAGAACCUUGGCAUAUUGUCAGCAUGUACAAUUUUCAAUUUCACGGGACAUUUCUUUGAGUGUUACCAGUGGAUUUUGUUUUACCUUCAUCCUCCCUUUUUGGUAACACUGCAGGAAUUAUUUCUUGGGGCCCUCUCCUGUCUCACCUGAUACUGCACACACUAUGUGAUUCCUGGGGGAUUUCUGCGGGCAGAGACCUGAGCUUGCACGAGUGCACACGUAGCUACACUCACAUACAAAUGCCGGACAACUCAGUAACAUGAAAGCUGUCACAGGCCAUUUUACUACAGUCCUAACGAUUGAAAGGUAUUUACGUUAGUAUAAAACCAGGUUUCAGCUCCGGUCAGCUUUUCUUUGCAGAAUACGGGGAACAGCUGCCAGGCUGGCGGGCGCUGCCUGAACAAAGGUCUCCUUCUACUCUGAGUGGCCUCGGGGGGAAGCUGCUGCUGCAUCUGGCUGGCCUGGCAGCAGAGCCCAAAAUAGGGAUUUGCCCUGUACAGCUGUGGAGGUCAGACAAUCCAGGGCUGUAUUUUAUAUAUGUAUAUUUUAAGUGUGGGAGUACAUUUUUCUCCUACAACCUACUCAGACCACGGAGAGAAGCAGAGAGGGCUGAAUCAGUUCCUCAGACACUACCCUUUUGCAUAUUUUUACCUUAUUUUUAAGUAUCCAAAGCAGGGUAAGCACAGCUCUGAGCUUUUUUACCAAGAUCUGACCACUCUAAUUUCAAGAGCUGAAACUUCGGUUUCAAUGUGUUAAAAUGAAAAUAUCGGCAUUUUCAAGCUAAAAUGUAACAUGUUGAAUUAUUAUUACAUCGAGACUGAUACAGCACUUUCAUCAAUUGAUCAAACUUUGCUUAGUUAGACUACUGAACUUGCUUUUCUCUUUGCUCAAAUUAGCACAGUCAUAUUUGUAAUUGAACUCAGUGGUAGCCAAGGCUAUAAAGGCAUAUAAAUGCAAAUACCUGCCUCUCCAAAGUCUUCAGUCUCGCUAAUAAUGAAGCUCACAGAAGCACAUUCAGAUCAAAAUCGAUGCUAGCUAAACCAGGAAAAAAUUCACUUACAGAGGCUCAUUUUGGAUCCUUCUACAUGCAUAAAGGGAGAGUAAUUAUCUUUGUACAUGUAGAAAUUUAUCUUUUCUUAUUGUAUCCAUUCUGUGGACAAACUGUUGAGUUCACUGCUUUGAUAAAAGCUUUCUAAAACACUUCAAUAAUUCCCCAAACACUCAACACAACCCACACUGGCUUUUUCUUUUUUUUUUUUUAAAGCUGGAGGUUUAUUAAGAAGAUCACAGAUUUUCCUAUGUUUGUUGUGAAAUCCAUGUGGGAAAAAAAUCACAUAAUUCUUGGUAUUUAAUAUGAUAAUUGUAACUGAGACUCAUAAGGUAAAGGAACUUAAUGUCAUUACCUAUGCAAGAUACGAAAAUGUGUGUCUCCAGAAAUAAUGACCUUAUUACAGCGUUGAUCUUGUGUGGGUGGAAGCUUGCUUUAGAAGAAGCCUGUGGGAAAUGAUCAUGUAUUUCACCUGCCUGUUGUACAUUAUAGGUGAGCCCAGAGGUACAAUAAGAUACACAUUUGGUAAGUGUCUUACAUGUAAGAAAUCAGUAAUUUAAUGCAUUAAUCACUAGAGUGCAAUUAUAGACCUUAAUUUAUAAGAUAUUAGUCAUUCGCCAUAGAUAACCUUCAGUGGCUAUUAGAAUUUCAUAGUCUGAGUUCAUUACAACUGGCAAAUGUCUUUUGCCCAAUCAGCACACACAAGGGCUUGUUCUUUGGCUGGAAGCACAUUUUUUCAGUAUUAAAUCCACUCCAUUAAAUACGAGAGAGCACCUGUUUGGGUCUUAUUUCAAUAAAGAAUAUAUCCUAGCUGCAUUUUAAGGGGGCUUAUAAAGAUUGCACGUUAUUAAUGUAUUUUAUUACCAUGUUUAAAACUGAGUGAGAUACACUGGAAAUAUUACAAGCACAUCAGCAGAAGACAUCACAGCGAGUGAUAAACCGUGGCAAUAAAAAGCCUAUUAACCUGUUGCAGUCUUUGUCAAAAUAUGAGACUGUCCUGGUUUUGGCUGGGAUAGAGUUAAUUUUCUUCCUAGUAGCGAGUAUAGUGCCGUGUUUUGGAUUUAGUAUGAGAAGAAUGUUGAUAACACACUGAUGUUUUCAGUUGUUGCUAUGUAGUGUUUAGACUAAGUCAAGGAUUUUUCAGCUUCUCAUGCCCAGCCAGCAAGAAGGCUGGAGGGGCACAAGAGGUUGGGAGGGGACACAGCCGGGAGAGCUGACCCAAACUGGCCAAAGGGGUAUUCCAUACCAUGUGACAUCAUGCCCAGUAUAUAAACUGGGGGGACUUGGCCUGGGGGGGUGGAUUGCUGCUCGGGAACUGACUGGGCAUCAGUCAACCAGUGGUGAGCAACUGCACUCUGCAUCACUUGUUUUGUAUAUUCUAAUUCUUUUAUUAUUAUUAUUGUUGUCAUUUUAUUAUUGUCAUCAUUAUUUUCUUCCUUUUCUGUCCUAUUAGACUGUUCUUAUCUCAA